GUUACAACAAGUCCACUCUGUUUAUUUUAGGCAAACUUACGAGGAUCCUGGUUGGUGGAGUGAUGUCGUCCUCUUGGCUCGAGUCUUGGCUCCUCCAUCAGCUCUCCUCAGCCAGUGUCCUGGUCUGGAACAAACAGCAGUGAUGGUCAUCCUCCAGAUUCACGGCUCCCCUACCAGCUUGCCUCCGCUCCAGAAACACGUUCUAUCGUCCUCCAGCGUCUCAGCUCCUCCAGCAGCUCUCCUCAGACAGAGUCCUGGUCUGGAACAAACAGCGGAAGUCUUGCUUCAACAUGUGGCAGGCCCUCCACCAGCUCCUCCACCAGCCCAGGGCCUUCAGCACAGCUCCUCCAUCAGCGCCUUC
This is a long non-coding RNA of Gadus macrocephalus (Pacific cod), 361 nucleotides long. RefSeq lists it as uncharacterized. The transcript is spliced from 4 exons. Lineage: Eukaryota; Metazoa; Chordata; Actinopteri; Gadiformes; Gadidae. The record is from RefSeq and is a predicted model, not a curated record.